Molecule: long non-coding RNA, 383 nt
Filed under: Pan troglodytes (chimpanzee)
Lineage: Eukaryota; Metazoa; Chordata; Mammalia; Primates; Hominidae
Description: long non-coding RNA NONPTRT002175
Source: RNAcentral
GGAAUGUAAAUUAAUUCAACUAUUGUAUAAAACAGUGUGGCAAUUCCUGAAAGACUUAAAAACAGAAUUACCAUUUGACCCAGCAAUCCCAUUACUGGGUAGAUACCCAAAGAAUAUCAAUCAUUCUACUAUAAAGAGACAGGCAUGCGUAUGUUCAUUGCAGCACUACUCACAAUAGCAAAGACAUGGAAUCAAUCUAAUGCCCAUCAAUGGUAGACUGGAUAAAAGAAAAGGUGGUACGUAUACACCAUGGAAUACUCUGGGAGGGAAGAAGAGAGAAGACAUUUAUGGAGAAUAAGACAGGAAACAGAAAGCUUUGAAAGAAUCUGUAGAUAUAACUUCAUUUAAUUUAAUUUAACAAAGAUCUGCAGCAAAUUGGCAAA